CUACGGGGGGCUCCAGUGGGGAAUAUUGCACAAUGGGCGCAAGCCUGAUGCAGCCAUGCCGCGUGUAUGAAGAAGGCCUUCGGGUUGUAAAGUACUUUCAGCGGGGAGGAAGGGAGUAAAGUUAAUACCUUUGCUCAUUGACGUUACCCGCAGAAGAAGAACCGGCUAACUCCGUGCCAGCAGCCGCGGUAAUACGGAGGGUGCAAGCGUUAAUCGGAAUUACUGGGCGUAAAGCGCACGCAGGCGGGUUGUUAAGUCAGAUGUGAAAUCCCCGGGCUCAACCUGGGAACUGCAUCUGAUACUGGCAAGCUUGAGUCUCGUAGAGGGGGGUAGAAUUCCAGGUGUAGCGGUGAAAUGCGUAGAGAUCUGGAGGAAUACCGGUGGCGAAGGCGGCCCCCUGGACGAAGACUGACGCUCAGGUGCGAAAGCGUGGGGAGCAAACAGGAUUAGAUACCCGAGUAGUC
RNAcentral lists this ribosomal RNA (464 nucleotides) under uncultured bacterium. RNAcentral's name for it is "partial 16S ribosomal RNA". It matches the Rfam family "Bacterial small subunit ribosomal RNA", at positions 339 to 795 of the family's 1533-position model. The record is from RNAcentral.